RNAcentral lists this transfer RNA (73 nucleotides) under Felis catus (domestic cat). It matches the Rfam family "tRNA". From Rfam's summary of the family: Transfer RNA (tRNA) molecules are approximately 80 nucleotides in length. Their secondary structure includes four short double-helical elements and three loops (D, anti-codon, and T loops). Lineage: Eukaryota; Metazoa; Chordata; Mammalia; Carnivora; Felidae. The record is from Rfam by way of RNAcentral.
GCCUAGCUGGCUCAGUCUGUGGAGCAUGCAAGUCUUGAUCUUGGGGUUAUGGGUUCGAGUCCCAUGUUGGGUA